RNAcentral lists this ribosomal RNA (492 nucleotides) under uncultured bacterium. RNAcentral describes it as "partial 16S ribosomal RNA". It matches the Rfam family "Bacterial small subunit ribosomal RNA", at positions 29 to 507 of the family's 1533-position model. The record is from RNAcentral.
AGUGAACGCUGGCGGUAGGCCUAACACAUGCAAGUCGAACGGCAGCACAGUAAGUUCUUGCUCUUACGGGUGGCGAGUGGCGGACGGGUGAGGUAUACAUCGUAAUCUACUUUUUCGUGGGGGUUAACGUAGGGAAACUUACGCUCAUAUCGCAUACGACCUACGGUUGAAAGCAGGGGAUCUUCGGACCUUGCGCGAUUGAAUGAGCCGAUGUCGGAUUAGCUAGUUGGCGGGGUAAAGGCCCACCAAGGCGACGAUCCGUAGCUUGUCUGAGAGGAUGAUCAGCCACACUGGAACGGAGACACGGUCCAGACUCCUACGGGAGGCAGCAGUGGGGAAUAGUGGACAAUGGGCGCAAGCCUGAUCCAGCCAUACCGCGUGGGUGAAGAAGGCCUUCGGGUUGGAAAGCCCUUUUGUUGGGAAAGAAAAGCAGCAGGUUAAUACCCCGCUGUUCUGACGGUACCCAAAGAAUAAGCACCGGCUAACUUCGUG